CGUUUUCUUAGUUCAGAGGUCACAUUUAGAAGGAAUUAUCGGUUUCUGUAUCCUGCAUUACAUAAGGGCAAGGAAGACUGUAGGAGGCUAAUUUGUUCAGUUGCCACAGAACCCUUGCCUAAGCAAAUUGAAGAAUCUAAAAUGGAUAUACCAAAAGAAAUCUUUUUGAAGGAUUACAAGUUGCCGGAUUACUACUUUGAUACGGUGGAUUUAAAAUUUUCACUGGGUGAGGAGAAGACAAUUGUUAGUUCAAAAAUAACUGUUUUCCCCAGGGUUGAAGGUUCUUCUCCCCCCCUGGUUUUGGAUGGUCAUGAUCUAAAGUUAAUUUCAGUUAAGGUCAAUAGUGAGGAACUAAAGGAUAAAGA
This 365-nucleotide unclassified non-coding RNA is filed under the name Hevea brasiliensis (rubber tree). The record is from RNAcentral. Lineage: Eukaryota; Viridiplantae; Streptophyta; Magnoliopsida; Malpighiales; Euphorbiaceae.